Unclassified non-coding RNA from Nomascus leucogenys (northern white-cheeked gibbon), 93 nucleotides. It matches the Rfam family "Y RNA". Rfam says of the family: Y RNAs are components of the Ro ribonucleoprotein particle (Ro RNP), in association with Ro60 and La proteins. The Y RNAs and Ro60 and La proteins are well conserved, but the function of the Ro RNP is not known. The record is from Ensembl. NCBI's taxonomy places the organism in Eukaryota, Metazoa, Chordata, Mammalia, Primates, Hylobatidae.
GGCUGGUCCUAUGGUAAUGAGUUAUCAGAAUUUAUUAACGUUAAUGUCAUUAAAGUUGGUAUACAACACCCCACUGCUAAAUUUGACUGAAAG